AACGCGAAGAACCUUACCUGGGCUCGAAGCGUAGUGGACUGAGGUAGAAAUAUCUUUUUCCCGCAAGGGACCGCAGUAUAGGUGCUGCAUGGCUGUCGUCAGCUCGUGUCGUGAGAUGUUGGGUUAAGUCCCGCAACGAGCGCAACCCUUGUCCUGUGUUGCCAUACCGAAAGGUGGAACUCGCAGGAGACCGCCAGGGAUAACCUGGAGGAAGGUGGGGAUGACGUCAAGUCCUCAUGGCCUUUAUGUCCAGGGCUACACACGUGCUACAAUGGACGGUACAAAGGGCUGCCAACCCGCGAGGGGGAGCCAAUCCCAAAAAACCGUUCUCAGUUCGGAUUGCAGGCUGCAACUCGUCUGCAUGAAGCUGGAAUCGCUAGUAAUGGCGGAUCAGAACGCCGCCGUGAAUACGUUCCCGGGCCUUGUACACACCGAUAGC
RNAcentral lists this ribosomal RNA (439 nucleotides) under uncultured bacterium. RNAcentral's name for it is "bacterial SSU rRNA". It matches the Rfam family "Bacterial small subunit ribosomal RNA", at positions 958 to 1397 of the family's 1533-position model. The record is from RNAcentral.